UUCGGUGGCUAUGGCGGAGAGGAAACACCCGUUCCCAUCCCGAACACGGAAGUUAAGUUCUCCAGCGCCGAUGGUACUGCAUGGGCGACUGUGUGGGAGAGUAGGACGCUGCCGAAA
Molecule: ribosomal RNA, 117 nt
Filed under: Syntrophales bacterium
Lineage: Bacteria; Pseudomonadati; Thermodesulfobacteriota; Syntrophia; Syntrophales
Source: RNAcentral